This 253-nucleotide ribosomal RNA is filed under the name uncultured bacterium. RNAcentral's name for it is "partial 16S ribosomal RNA". It matches the Rfam family "Bacterial small subunit ribosomal RNA", at positions 524 to 776 of the family's 1533-position model. The record is from RNAcentral.
UACGUAGGGUGCGAGCGUUACUCGGAAUUACUGGGCGUAAAGCGUGCGUAGGUGGUUUGUUAAGUCUGAUGUGAAAGCCCUGGGCUCAACCUGGGAAUGGCAUUGGAUACUGGCGAGCUAGAGUGCGGUAGAGGGUAGUGGAAUUCCCGGUGUAGCAGUGAAAUGCGUAGAGAUCGGGAGGAACAUCUGUGGCGAAGGCGACUACCUGGACCAGCACUGACACUGAGGCACGAAAGCGUGGGGAGCAAACAGG